This 117-nucleotide transfer RNA is filed under the name Candidatus Woesearchaeota archaeon. RNAcentral describes it as "tRNA-Thr". The stretch from base 43 to 109 matches the Rfam family "tRNA", at positions 9 to 63 of the family's 71-position model. Rfam says of the family: Transfer RNA (tRNA) molecules are approximately 80 nucleotides in length. Their secondary structure includes four short double-helical elements and three loops (D, anti-codon, and T loops). Lineage: Archaea; Nanobdellati; Candidatus Woesearchaeota. The record is from RNAcentral.
GCCUCGGUGGCUUAGGGGUACGUGCCGAAGCAAAGCUUCGCCGGCUUAGACCGGAACGCUCUAAAUAGCGCUGCCUUGGUAAGGCAGAGGUCGGGAGUUCAAUUCUCCCCCGAGGCU